GAUGAACGCUGGCGGCGUGCCUAAUACAUGCAAGUCGAGCGAACAGAUGAGGAGCUUGCUCCUCUGACGUUAGCGGCGGACGGGUGAUUAACACGUGGAUAACCUACCUAUAAGACUGGGAUAACUUCGGGAAACCUGAUCUAAUACCGGAUAAUAUAUUGAACCGCAUGGUUCAAUAGUGAAAGACGGUUUUGCUGUCCCUUAUAGAUGGAUCCGCGCCGCAUUAGCUAGUUGGUAAGGUAACGGCUUACCAAGGCGACGAUGCGUAGCCGACCUGAGAGGGUGAUCGGCCACACUGGAACUGAGACACGGUCCAGACUCCUACGGGAGGCAGCAGUAGGGAAUCUUCCGCAAUGGGCGAAAGCCUGACGGAGCAACGCCGCGUGAGUGAUGAAGGUCUUCGGAUCGUAAAACUCUGUUAUUAGGGAAGAACAAAUGUGUAAGUAACUAUGCACGUCUUGACGGUACCGAAUCAGAAAGCCACGGCUAACUACGUG
Molecule: ribosomal RNA, 497 nt
Filed under: uncultured bacterium
Lineage: Bacteria
Description: partial 16S ribosomal RNA
Rfam family: Bacterial small subunit ribosomal RNA
Source: RNAcentral